CAGCAAAGAAGGCCCACACUGACACCAUGAUCUUGGAGGUGGUCCCCUUUGGGUUCUGCACAGCAAACCCAUCAUUUACCUAAGAAGGCAGAAGGUGAGACAGUCCCAUUGCUGCGUGACACCAUGACACUGAUGCCUGUCUCUAUGAAGGGCACAGAGAAGUCGACCACCUCCGAUCGUUCCUCAUUGAUGAUGGCUACAGAGGAGUUUGAUGACUUGCCCAAGCUCCCACGGUAAGUGACUUGAAGCUGAGCAGUCUGACUCCAGAGCUUGGACUCCUACCCACCACUCUGCACUGCUUCUCUGACAAUGAAGGAGUAAGACAUGUUCCUUUUCCUCCAAGGACAGUCUAGAGGGAAAAGACACUAUCCAUCGACAAUAAUAGGCUUUGGCUGAACACCUGAAUAGCUGGG
Molecule: long non-coding RNA, 413 nt
Filed under: Homo sapiens (human)
Lineage: Eukaryota; Metazoa; Chordata; Mammalia; Primates; Hominidae
Description: HSALNT0185913
Source: RNAcentral